AAGAUUUUAAGUUAAAAAAACUAAUAACCUUCAAAGUUUUAAAUAAAAUUUUAUUUUUAAAUCUUA
Molecule: transfer RNA, 66 nt
Filed under: Gilpinia sp. 1 GYN-2022c
Lineage: Eukaryota; Metazoa; Arthropoda; Insecta; Hymenoptera; Diprionidae
Also listed under: 1 other name
Description: tRNA-Trp
Source: RNAcentral